CCUGCCCAAUGGUUGUAUCUAAAAGCGGUUGAUAAAAGUCGACCGCGUAAGGACAAUUGAAUGGCCGCGGUAACACUGACCGUGAUAAUGUAGCGUAAUCAAUASCCAAUUAAUUGUUGGCCAGUAUGAAUGGCGCCACGAAGGCCCCACUGUCUUAAGGAAAUUCCCAGUGAAAUUGAAUUCGUAGUGAAGAUGCUACGUCCAAUUUGUUAGACGAAAAGACCCCGUUGAGCUUUACUGGGGCACUUACACGGCCCCGGCCUUCAAGACUGGGUUGAUAAGCCAAGGCUUACCAUACCUAGGGACCGGCCGAAUUUAAAUGGGCGGSUUAGACUAUGUGGCAGCCCCCCCCGUCGGGGCAGAUGAAACCCCACUCCCCCAUGUCAAAGGGGCUAACCCCCCCCCCCUUGGGGGGGGACAAUGUAAGUAGGACAGUUUGGUUGGGGCGACCGCCUUUUAGAGAGUAACGAAGGUGCGCUUAAGGUGCGUAAUUAAUGACUGAAGCCUGACUGCGAGGGGGACACCCCGAGCAGACACCCCCAAGCCCGCCCGAGAAGGCUUUGCCUUCUGGGCGGCGGUGGGGUGG
RNAcentral lists this ribosomal RNA (586 nucleotides) under Umimayanthus chanpuru. RNAcentral's name for it is "partial 16S ribosomal RNA". It matches the Rfam family "Bacterial large subunit ribosomal RNA", at positions 1858 to 2423 of the family's 2925-position model. Lineage: Eukaryota; Metazoa; Cnidaria; Anthozoa; Zoantharia; Parazoanthidae. The record is from RNAcentral.